This 389-nucleotide ribosomal RNA is filed under the name uncultured bacterium. RNAcentral's name for it is "bacterial SSU rRNA". It matches the Rfam family "Bacterial small subunit ribosomal RNA", at positions 389 to 795 of the family's 1533-position model. The record is from RNAcentral.
CAACAAUCCGUGUGCGGGACCCGCUUCGUGGAGUGUAAACCGCUGUCAGAUGGGAAGAAUAAAUGACUGUACCAUCAAAGGAAGAACCGGCUAACUCUGUGCCAGCAGCCGCGGUAAUACAGAGGGUUCAAGCGUUGUCCGGAUUUAUUGGGCGUAAAGCGUCUGUAGGUUGUUUUAUAAGUCUGAAGUGAAAGAAUGGGGCUCAACCCCAUCCCCGCUUUGGAAACUGUAAAACUAGAAUUAGUUAGAGGUAAGUGGAAUUUCCAGUGUAGCGGUGAAAUGCGUAGAUAUUGGAAGGAACACCAGAGGCGAAGGCGGCUUACUGGGACUAUAUUGACACUGAGAGACGAAAGCCUGGGGAGCGAAAGGGAUUAGAUACCCCUGUAGUC